ACUUGCAGACGAUGAUUAGAAGCUUUGCUUCCAAUGGAAUGCACGAAGCAAUGACUGCAUAAUGCAUUCUUUGUUUUAAAAACAAAACUGUGCAAUAAAAAUUGCACAAAACUUGUUCGAUAUCUAAUCUACCUUUGGUGGCUUCAGCUUACCUGACAGUUCAUUUAUGUAUCCACAUUGCUAGGAAGCAUAUCAUCCGUCUAAUCCAAACAUAAACUAUUCUCGUUGUUGAAACUGGUGACGCACAAGCUGACGUAACGUUAGUGGAGACUUCAUCUCAAAAAACAGCCUGCAUGGGCUAAAAUCCCGGGGGGCGCGUAUGGCUCGUAUCAUUUGCGAGGCACGCGACGGGAGCCUUGAGGAGCUUUCCAUGCUAAAGCGCCUCUAAACCCAGGUCUCACUUGGAGAUCGAUCUCACUCGGAGAUCAUGAGUCUGUUGUAGAGUGGCGUCAUUUUACGUCCAGUCCACCGAACCAGUGUGCACAAUUGCUGGCGGUGGAUACCAGACUCCCCCCACGGGUCGUCAUGUGCGAGGCAAGGUCGGGGAUAAGAUAUCACGGCAGCAAUUGAAGAUAAAUUGAGAUUCUUUAUGUAAAUGCUAUUAGGCUGCUACAUUUGCACAAUGAGUGAGUGCAAAGCUCCUCUUUAAUUGAUAUUUUUCAUUAUUCAAGCAUACUAUUACCUAAUACGUCUGAGUCUACAUUCACUUUAUUCACGAAAAUGCUUCAAAAUCGCGUUUUUCGUCGGUAAAUAGCAUUGUAACCUUGCGUCAGUUGACACACGCUUUCACUGCCGCAUCCGGACUCUCAGUGCAUAUUUGUCUAUGCAUCAUGAGCUUAAGUAUUGUUUCCUUUUUCGUUAGAUCAAGCUUCAACUUCUAGCGCUUAAUCGCUCAUGCCAAGCAAAGUUUGCGGACUUGUUAAAGGUUAAAAGAAAAUAUAUUUCCUUCAACAGAUGUGUAUAAAAUGAGGCUGCAAAUGAGCGGUUUUCUUCUGGCAAUUAUGGUACUAUAGCACGUUGCUGAUGGAAGGCGGUCAAGAAAAAGAUUAUUUGCAGUUGUGCCUCAUCGUCACUUAUUUGCCAAAUGAAAUUUUAAUUGCUGCUGUUAUCCCCGGCUAUAGUGUCUACGGUGGCGAGCUUUCUCCGCGGACCUUCAACUUCAAGACCUUCUACUUCAAGACCUUCAACUUCUAAACAACUAAAGGGAUAUUCUCGUCAUACUGCACUGUCCAUGACGUGCAUGUCGGGUCAUCGACAUGCAUGUUCAAUACCAUUAGUGCACAUGCUGCACCAGACUAUAUUUACGGACGUUGACUGUUUGCUUUAGGCACUGUUUCAAGCAUUGUACGAUGGCCGAUAACAAAAGUAUUUGUUAACGUUUUCAAGUUCCAUUCGGAGUAUCCGAAACUACGACGCAAUGUUAGUCGGAACUAACGUAUCUAGUUAAUCAUGUUAUCGCAUGAUGUUCUUGCUCAUUGGCAAACAUUAUUUCAGCAGUCGAUACGUCCUCCAAACUUCAGUAACUGUUACUAUAUAGUCCCCGUUCGUCACAAACGACCGUUGACAUUUUGUCAACCUCAAAUUCGAAUAUAUUAACCGUUUACACGCACGAGAAUAUCCCUUUAUCCAAACUAGCAAGUGUGUCUACUGUUUUCUUACUAGGCAAACAAAAGUUUGUCACAGCAUGUGCGCAGUUCACUUUACCUAUGUGCAUUCAUACUAAAAGCCAUUCGUCCACAAGCAAGUUAUUUAUUUGCGCUAUUGACGUAAGCUUUCAUGAAGGCCAAACCAAUGCUGAUUCGUCAAUGCUGAUUGUCAGCUUGAAAGUAAAGAUGAGCAAAGUGGUUCAACUGAAUCUUAUGGUUGCAGUAGGGCAUAUUAGAAGUAAGUGACAAGUAUGUGUCAGCAAUUGUUUAUGCUUCUUAACCCUAGAUACUUUUGAUUCAAUCCUUGUGGUGAUGACGUAAUGUGGCAGAAAACAGUAGACACACUUCAUCUCAUCGGAAACCCUGAAUGAUUGGUAUUUGUGAGCAUGUGUGCCUGUGAGUGUGUAAGGGUGGAUGUGGGUGUGUGGGUAUGUAUGUGCGUAUGUGAGGGUGUGCGUGUCAUCUUACACGUAAUUUAGUGAAUGAGUGAAUUGGUACUAGUUUUCAAGUAAAUACGUGCAUGAGUGCGUGUAGUCAGUGGUGUAUGGAACUAGCAUUGUGCCUGCCUGCUACCAACGAAAUAUGCAAGCCCACACAGAGAAAACAGUUUUAUUGUGCAAAACUACAUGCUGCUGGCAGGGUUUACAUGCAAGUCACAUAUUGCAGGUCUACCAUAAGCAGAGCGAUGUGACAUCUGAUAAGUACCUAACUCACAGCAACACAUACUCUGCAUGUCCAGGGAAAGUGAGUUGUGCUCGGAACAGAUUGGCCAGACAGUUUUGUCCUAUCAAAUUCAGAAUUGUUUCAUCCUCCUCACAGGUGCCAUUAACAUCAUGAGCACACAUUAUUGCUAGAUCUGAAUGCCAGCUGCCUAUUGCACCGCUGGCACGUAGUUUGAGACAAAGAUGCCGCCAGUUUUCCACCUCGCUGCUGAUACAAUGCAAUACUGCUACAAAAUGUCCGUGUUCUGUGUUUUUAGUGUUGUAUGUUUGUAUAUGAGUCUUGCGUCGUGUGAACAUUACCUACAUGAGUUAAAGUGUUCCCGCGAAAGUAGGUACUGAAUUAGCUCAAGCCAGGAUUGCGUUGCGGAUAUAUUUGUAGGCCAUACAAUGUUUUAUGGCGUCAUUUACGACAUUUCCUGUUUUUCUUGUCGUUGUAUGCACGUGAGUUGUGCCGCAUGUUGCGCUUGUAAAUCAUGUUCUCAAUGUCAUUUUCUUUUGGUACAAUUGGUCACCACUACACAUCACUCGCAUACACUCGCCCAAGCAAGUCGGAUAUCAAUCACUGUCCAGAAGUGCAUGAUGCAUUCAACCACGCAUAGAACACUGGCACACCAAGAACAUGAACUCACGCAAAAACGAGAGGGCUAUCACACGACUUCGCAUUGGACACACCGCUAUCACACACAACUACAUCAUCACAAGAAGCCCGAGACCGAAAUGCAACACCUGCAACACUUUCAUCACUGUCAAACAUCUGCUACUCACAUGCCCACAAUACCAACACCACAGGACACACAUACAAACAUACUGCAGAGACGCCAACAUCCCACUAACACUCACAACACUGCUCGGGGACUUACACCCCGAGCUAACAACACUACUCAUCCACUAAAGACACAACACUGGGCUGAUCAAUGACCUGUAAAUCUCCUCCCCUAGAGCCAAGGACAAAAAAGCCAAAAAAGCCAAAAAAAGAAGCAAAAAAGAAAAAAACAAUAUUCAAAACAAUGAGAAUCAAAAUAAAAAACCCCAGAAUGGCAAAAUGGCAAAAAAAAAAAACAAAAACAAAAAAAAAUAAUAGAAGGGGCAAUCCGGCUACCCGGGAGGAGAUAGCUAGGAACCCAGUCCCACCCCUCAGCCCACCCUUGCGAGCCAAGAAGACAACGGACACUUCAAGGCAACGGACGGACCAACAACGAAGACGGACGACAGAACCGGGCCCAAAUACAGGACGCUGUGGUGGCCCGUAAGCUACAAAUACCAUACCAUACCAUACCAGUGCAUCAUGCAGCAGAAUAAGCUUCAUUGAACACACUCGUCAUCAUGAACGGCAUCUAGGAGUUUCAUGAGUUUGGAUCUGUGACCAGCUGAUUUCGCAGUAUCCAAUGGCAACCGUGUAUGACCAGGCGCCGCUUGGACGCCUUGUCCAGUCACGUCUUCUGGGACUGUGUGAUGACUGCCUCUGCAUUCUCAAGUGCCAGUUUCUGCCUCCGGCCCAUUUCAUUAUCAAAGGAUGCUGUUAGCUUAACGAACAGCUCUGCUCCAAGAUUCCAAACGGUUUUACGGUACUGUAUGCCUACAAAACGUUAAUAUUUUUUGGAGGCGGUAAUACUCGGAUGAACUGACCUUUAUGGGUGGGUAUUCAACGUUGAAUAAAGUAGGCUUGUAGCCCUCUGCCUAUUGACUUCUAAGGGUUUUAGUAAUAUUUAUCGAAUAUCUCAUCUGAAAUGCAUUUUCACUCACAGUCGUCGAAAUCGAAAAAUCAUAAGCUUAGAAAUCCGCGGACUUGACAUAUUAUAUUUUAUCGACGAUUCGUUUCGACUUGCUGUCAUGUCAGCUAAUCAUCCGUUGCUUCUCCUAUUUUCACAGGUGCAUUACCAGUCAUCUUUACCGUCGAUACCGUUGAAGAUUUUACCGUCGAUCACGGAGCACCCAUUGCGCUGGCCGUUGCUGGCACUUUUUUAUUUGUCACUAGCUAUUAGUUAUCUGCAGAUAUACAUUAGCCACCUGUACACCCGCUUACACUAGCUCUCAUCAUCUAGUUCUACGUAUGUGUGUGUUUGUUUUAAUUGUAUUGCCGAUGAAUUCGGUAGACAUGCUCCGCCCGCAAACAUGUACCACAUGAUGCAGUUCACUGAAUGUAGCAGUUAAUCACUCGUAAAAAGCGGUCAUGUUUUCGUAUAGUGUAGGUAUGCAUCUAUGUAAGCAUGUGUUCACACUCAUGAGCGAUCCACACAUGAUAUUGCAUUUCCUGUUCAGUUAUAUUUUUAGCACUGGAACACGAUGCUCAUACACUGUGUUGUUAUCUUUCUUUUUUCGCCUGCUCCUUCCUCCAACUUGUGUCUUUGAGUAUUUCAGUCACAUGCUCAAACGUUCUUAAAUGCUCUCGCCAUCGGUUUACGGAUGCGUUGAAAACGGACAUGUGAUGACCAAAUUUAACAAUAUGCGGACAAUGGAUCGACUUCUUGAAGCCUGUGGACGUGAUACACCUUCUCCAUCACCAUCAAGAGGUCAACAUUUUCGAAGACACUUGCGUACGGCUGCAGUGUCCGGCGCAAUGCUGAAUGCGACCUGUUAUCUGUUGGAUCUACUCUGUGAGCCCGAACCCCAGUGCAAUGGCACUGUUCGACUAUAGCGCUGGACGUCGUCUACUUUUUGCUAGAGGGAAAGGUCAUCAUCCGUCCAUGAACUUCGGGCUGCUCACAGCUAUAUUGCCUUGGCAAGUUCUUUGAGCACUCAAUACUGGACUUGGGCUGCGAAAGCUAAUGACAAUUUGGGGAGCUUGAUAUUGCAAUGGCUAUGACGUGAAGGCUCAAUAUGACGAACAGCUCGACUAUUCACCAUUGUCAACGCUUAUGAUAGCUAAAUAUCAUUGUGCUUGGUGUACAUUCACGUCUCGUUUCCUUGCUCCAUUUGUACCUCACCGGUCGUCCGUCCCCACAGGCCUCGGCUGCAGCACAAGCCACAUUCAUCGGCCCAAUCAUCAGUUAUUCAUCCUGCAAGUUUUAAGUCACUUCGUUGUGACCCGGACAUCGUCAUCUUUCAACGAGUUCAAAUGAUUAUUUCAUUCAUCAUCGUCGAUCAGACUCAUCAUGUAAAGACACUUCCAUAAUGCUAGCCGCCAUCUACGUUUGUGCAGGAAGCAAAUAUCAGGUUGUUAUUAGCUGCGGGCUACUCAGUACCGACUGAACUACUGGCAGUAGUGUGCGAGCACCUAAUACUUGUAUUGUGAUACCAAAGCUAAAACGGAUGAAAGCUUAGCACAUAGGGCCCUACCGCUUUCCACACACACAAACAAAACUUGACUUUGGGCAUUAGCACCAUGGCAGGAUAAACAGGCAGUUUCGCUGUUUUUCACUGCUUUCAUUGGGAGGUGUUACUGCUCAUUCCCGUUCUAUGUGAUGUUAGAACAGCCCUUCACCAUAGUCCUGUUUUCUCCUUUGCCGUUUUCCAUAGACAUCAGAUGCGACAUGCACUCCAACGAUCGGUCAGGCGCAUCACCGUCAAUCCGGUCGCCUGUUAAGCAGUUCGUAAUCACCGUCAGUCUUCGACAUCUGUCAACACACUUAUCCACAUUAUCGCCUUACUUUUGAUCUUAUCAAUAUGCAAGAAUGAGUGCAAAAUGCAUUCCAAUAUUGCAUCAGUUGAUGUUGUAUCGCAAUGACACCGCGUCCUCACCUCACAUCUGUUGUGCAUACUUGAUCACGAAUGCCAGUUAUACGCAGAUUCACAUGGUGAAGUUUUACUCCGUUGACGUUUUCUUUCCAUUCUUGUAGUCGAUCAAGAGGGAUUACAGUUGCACAUGCGGCCUUACACAUGCGUUCUUACAUGUUAGCUGAUUGAUAUGUUGGACACACUGGUUCCUGUGACUCCAAGUAGUUCUGCAUUGGUAUUGCUUCACUUUAUAUGUUCUACCCAAAGAUCGUUUCUAGUUUUGUCUUAGCUUGCAGCUGUAUGCCAUGAACAUACAGGGUACUGCGCAUCUUUAUCGUGACAUUCCUGUAGUUUCGUCACUUUCGCGGAUGAUUAGGACCAUGAGCUCAGUUGCAGAUGCGUCCAGCAGCCACCGACAUUUCUACACUUUAAAUUCCUAGUCUCGGAUCUUAUCCACAUGCCAACAUGAUUUGAACAUUUCACACGUUUAGUGAUGAAAUGAGCAGGUAUCAUCUACUACAUUAUAUUUUCAUGUAAAGCACACUCCAGUCUGUGAAAAAAGAAAACCAUUAGGAGCAACAAUCAUGCCUUAGACAGUAUAGUUGCCAUAGAUAUUACGUUGUGCAGCGGGCAGGCCGGUGCACGAAAUGGCGAGUGUGAAUGCAGGAAUGCGUGUGAAAAACUGCCUAGGUGUGGAGUGGCUGGUUUGUCUUCCGUUACAUCGUAACGGGCUCUUGACGUAGUCUUUUUUUAGUAACACCAAUCAUCUUUCGAACUUGAAUUAACGUAAUUGAAAGAUGGCUAUCACAUUUGGAGCCAACUUUUUUGCUAACUGCGUCAAGGGCGGGCAGCGCGGUGCGUGGAUGCCUUUUGGUAAAGCUCACGUCCUAAUAUACUAUCCAGCCCUUACCAAGCGUGCAUCCAUGUUUCCUCCAUCCGGCUCCUCGUGCCGCUGCCUGGAAUAUUAGCCUACGGCUAAUAUACCAAGAGAUGGAAAACUUUUCGUUGGUAUGGAAUAUGGAUGCCUCGUGGUUCAACUGGUGAUGUUCAAAACAACUGUACCGUGUGUCAGGUAGGUCUUACUCACUUUCCGCUUCAUUUUUUUCUCGGCCGCGUAGGAAAUAUGAUUUGACGGUAAUCGUGGCGCUUUUGUUUCAGUGGCUGAAUGACAGCGACAUCUAUAACUCAGGCUGCACUCAGAGCCCGAGUCUGAGUUUGGCUGAAAAAAUCGCCCAUAAAAAAUUCGCCCAUCGCCCGCCCGCCGCGAAACGGGUGAUUUUGUUUUUGCGUCGUUUUCGGUAAAAGGUUUAUUUUCGGUUGGCGGCGGCCGGGCGCAUUUUUGCGGUUUUUGCGUUUGACGGCGGGCGGCCGUUUUUUGCGGCGUUUUGCG
This is a long non-coding RNA of Amphibalanus amphitrite, 7412 nucleotides long. RefSeq lists it as uncharacterized. The record is from RefSeq and is a predicted model, not a curated record. Lineage: Eukaryota; Metazoa; Arthropoda; Thecostraca; Balanomorpha; Balanidae. The transcript is spliced from 4 exons.